This 447-nucleotide ribosomal RNA is filed under the name uncultured bacterium. RNAcentral's name for it is "bacterial SSU rRNA". It matches the Rfam family "Bacterial small subunit ribosomal RNA", at positions 355 to 825 of the family's 1533-position model. The record is from RNAcentral.
UGGGGAAUCUUGGACAAUGGGCGCAAGCCUGAUCCAGCCAUGCCGCGUGAGUGAAGAAGGCCUUCGGGUUGUAAAGCUCUUUUACCAGGGACGAUAAUGACGGUACCUGGAGAAUAAGCCCCGGCAAACUUCGUGCCAGCAGCCGCGGUAAUACGAAGGGGGCUAGCGUUGUUCGGAAUUACUGGGCGUAAAGCGCACGUAGGCGGAAGGGUAAGUACCUUGUGAAAUCCCACGGCUUAACCGUGGAACGGCUUGGUAUACUGCUUUUCUUGAGCAAUCUAGGGGCGAGUGGAACAGAUGGUGGAGCGGUGAAAUGCGUAGAUAUCAUCUGGAACGCCAAUGGUGAAGACAACUCGCUGGGGAUUUGCUGACGCUGAGACACGAAAGCCAGGGGAGCGAACGGGAUUAGAUACCCCAGUAGUCCCUGAGCGGGCUGGCAAGGCGCAU